This 512-nucleotide ribosomal RNA is filed under the name Bacillus subtilis. RNAcentral describes it as "bacterial SSU rRNA". It matches the Rfam family "Bacterial small subunit ribosomal RNA", at positions 12 to 506 of the family's 1533-position model. The record is from RNAcentral. Lineage: Bacteria; Bacillati; Bacillota; Bacilli; Caryophanales; Bacillaceae.
UUUGAUCCUGGCUCAGGACGAACGCUGGCGGCGUGCCUAAUACAUGCAAGUCGAGCGGACAGAUGGGAGCUUGCUCCCUGAUGUUAGCGGCGGACGGGUGAGUAACACGUGGGUAACCUGCCUGUAAGACUGGGAUAACUCCGGGAAACCGGGGCUAAUACCGGAUGGUUGUUUGAACCGCAUGGUUCAAACAUAAAAGGUGGCUUCGGCUACCACUUACAGAUGGACCCGCGGCGCAUUAGCUAGUUGGUGAGGUAACGGCUCACCAAGGCAACGAUGCGUAGCCGACCUGAGAGGGUGAUCGGCCACACUGGGACUGAGACACGGCCCAGACUCCUACGGGAGGCAGCAGUAGGGAAUCUUCCGCAAUGGACGAAAGUCUGACGGAGCAACGCCGCGUGAGUGAUGAAGGUUUUCGGAUCGUAAAGCUCUGUUGUUAGGGAAGAACAAGUACCGUUCGAAUAGGGCGGUACCUUGACGGUACCUAACCAGAAAGCCACGGCUAACUACGU